This is a non-coding RNA of Peromyscus maniculatus bairdii (prairie deer mouse), 514 nucleotides long. The record is from RefSeq and is a predicted model, not a curated record. Lineage: Eukaryota; Metazoa; Chordata; Mammalia; Rodentia; Cricetidae.
UUUGCGCCUUUCCUGGGACUCACUUGGUAGCCCAGGCUGGCCUCGAACUCACAGAGAUCCGCCUGGCUCUGCCUCCCGAGUGCUGGGAUUAAAGGCGUGCGCCACCACCGCCCGGCUGAGGCACACCUUCUUGGAUCUCUGGAGGGGACAGGGCUCAGGCUUCUGUGGCUCAGGCAGUGCUGUUUUCACACCGCCCAGCUGGAUGGACCACGACUGCCACGUCUUACUGCGAACAGAGCCACAGGAAUUCCCCAGGGUCAUCCUACCCUACCUGAGUCCCAACCAGAGAAGGAGGUGGCUCUGAUGAACUUCAUUGACCAGUGUGCCCAAUGCUCUGAAGAGCGGUGGCCCUCGCACCCUAGGGCUGGAGUCUUCCCAACGUCAGUGUCCGUCUCUAAGGUUUCAUCUUUCUCCCCAUUACUGUCAAGUCAUCACUUCCAUCUUCCAAGGUUUCACUGAUGGAUGUCCUCUGUCUGCUGUCAUCUCCUGUUUAUCCUUAAGGGUCCAUAGUUUG